UCUAAAACUUCAAGGAAUUGACGGGGGCCCGCACAAGCGGUGGAGCAUGUGGUUUAAUUCGACGCAACGCGCAGAACCUUACCAGCCCUUGACAUCCCGGUCGCGGACUCCAGAGACGGAGUUCUUCAGUUCGGCUGGACCGGAGACAGGUGCUGCAUGGCUGUCGUCAGCUCGUGUCGUGAGAUGUUGGGUUAAGUCCCGCAACGAGCGCAACCCCCGUCCUUAGUUGCUACCAUUCAGUUGAGCACUCUAAGGAGACUGCCGGUGAUAAGCCGCGAGGAAGGUGGGGAUGACGUCAAGUCCUCAUGGCCCUUACGGGCUGGGCUACACACGUGCUACAAUGGCGGUGACAAUGA
This 356-nucleotide ribosomal RNA is filed under the name uncultured Nitrobacter sp. Its description in RNAcentral is "bacterial SSU rRNA". It matches the Rfam family "Bacterial small subunit ribosomal RNA", at positions 893 to 1245 of the family's 1533-position model. The record is from RNAcentral. Lineage: Bacteria; Pseudomonadati; Pseudomonadota; Alphaproteobacteria; Hyphomicrobiales; Nitrobacteraceae.